ACGGGAGGCAGCAGUGGGGAAUAUUGGGCAAUGGGCGAAAGCCUGACCCAGCAACGCCGCGUGAAGGAAGAAGGCCUUCGGGUUGUAAACUUCUUUUACCAGGGACGAAGGACGUGACGGUACCUGGAGAAAAAGCAACGGCUAACUACGUGCCAGCAGCCGCGGUAAUACGUAGGUUGCAAGCGUUGUCCGGAUUUACUGGGUGUAAAGGGCGUGUAGCCGGGUCGGUAAGUCAGAUGUGAAAUCUACGGGCUCAACUCGUAAACUGCAUUUGAAACUGCUGAUCUUGAGUAUCGGAGAGGCAAUCGGAAUUCCUAGUGUAGCGGUGAAAUGCGUAGAUAUUAGGAGGAACACCAGUGGCGAAGGCGGAUUGCUGGACGACAACUGACGGUGAGGCGCGAAAGCGUGGGGAGCAAACAGGAUUAGAUACCCUGGUA
This 437-nucleotide ribosomal RNA is filed under the name uncultured Oscillibacter sp. RNAcentral describes it as "bacterial SSU rRNA". It matches the Rfam family "Bacterial small subunit ribosomal RNA", at positions 341 to 792 of the family's 1533-position model. The record is from RNAcentral. Lineage: Bacteria; Bacillati; Bacillota; Clostridia; Eubacteriales; Oscillospiraceae.